RNAcentral lists this transfer RNA (74 nucleotides) under Candidatus Woesearchaeota archaeon. RNAcentral's name for it is "tRNA-Phe". It matches the Rfam family "tRNA". From Rfam's summary of the family: Transfer RNA (tRNA) molecules are approximately 80 nucleotides in length. Their secondary structure includes four short double-helical elements and three loops (D, anti-codon, and T loops). The record is from RNAcentral. Lineage: Archaea; Nanobdellati; Candidatus Woesearchaeota.
GGGGCUGUAGCUCAAUCUGGGAGAGCACUAGACUGAAGAUCUAGGUGUUCGGGGUUCAAAUCCCCGCAGCCCCA